UUAGUUUUCUUUUUUUUUUUUAUUAAGAUUUAUUUAUGCAUACAAGCGCUGGGGUACAGGCCAGGAGUAUGGGGGUGGGGGCGGUGAGAGGACUCACCAGAGACAGAGUGGGGAGCGGAAGAGGCAGAUGUACUGAAAUCCACUGCUGAGGGGAGCAGCGGGGAGACAGGAGAGGUCUGCUGUGCCCUCUGGGUUGCUCCCUGGCCGGGGAUGGAACUCGUGCUGCAGAGGCUGCGGACAGCUUCCUAGUGCUGUGACUUAACCCCUGCGCCGCCAGGGAGGCCCUGGGUUUAGUUUUGUGUUUCUGUGGCGACUGGCGAUGCUGACAGGCUCUUCGGGGGCUGUCGGGGCAUUGGUCCGCGUCCUGUGGAGGAGACUCUAUUCCAGUCCUCGGGUCACUUUUCAAAUUGAUUUGUGUUUUUGUUAGUCGUCAGUGGUCUCGUGUGUCCUGACCCCCAGACUCUAUCUCUGCACACCGAGGCUUCUGGGCUUUUUCUUGGCUGAAACCAUCUUUUGAGUAAUCCCUGCGCAGACUGCGCUGAUGCACUGACAGAUUUUCUGCACCAGUGGCAGCCCUGGGAGAAACCCAGGAUGUUGCCACAAAUUUAAUGCAAAAUUAAGUUUUUCAGGUGUAGAAUGUUAGUAACUGCCACGUAUGUUUAAGCUCAAAUGUGCAGAUUUGCCGAGUAAGCAGCAUGUCAUCUUUGAACGCUUUGGAAAAUGUUUGCUACAAAAUAAGUAGGUCAGAAUAUUUGUGGCAAGGGAUAGUAUGUUUUUGGAUUAUAUGCCUAGACGCUAGAAUGCAGAGGUUUAUCUGUUCAGUUGACUAACAUGAAAACACUGGCAGUAGGAACUGGCUCCCAUUCCUUGAAAGACUUGUUAGGUCGCGCACCACAAAUCAAAAUGAACUGAAAUUAGCAAAGUAAUAGUAACUGGGUAUGGGGGGAGGACCUCCUCCGUGGGUUGACCCCAAGUGCUGUUCAGGGGUCCAUGUCUUUGGGGAAUGUCUCUCCUUCUCCCUCUAUUGCGAUGUUUGGCCUGCAGAGUCCUGUCUCCUGUAAUCUCCCCCCCCAUCCCCCUAAUGGGGGAGCCCCUGAGGGCAAGCAGGCUCACCUUUAUUAUAAGCCUCCCUUUAACACCUGCUCCCGAGGCCACAUGGUAUGCUGUUCUGUGCGCCCCACGGGGUGGCCAGAGCAGGAGCCUCGAAGGUGGUCUCAGGCCUGGAGGACCCUGCUGGUAUCUGCACCUUAACACAAGGCCUGCCCGCCCACCCCAUCUUUCAAGGCCCUCCCUGCACACUUCACCCCUGAUCUGCUCCUCCCCCUCCUCCCCGCUCCCCUCACUGCACCCCCAAGGCCCUCCCUGUUCUGUCCCCAGUGUCACAAACUGAAAGAGCAUCUGAUUCACGGGCCCCACUUCCAAGUGGGGACCUGCCUAUCUUUGGACAUCUUGGCUGGCAUGGCACCACUCCCCGACAGUGCAGACAGCUGGCUGACUUUAUGACUUUGGGGGCCUGGGGGCCUUGGCGGAGAUGAUGGUGGGUACCUGAGGCUGCUGAUACCCAAAACUCAGCCCUGACCCCAAGCACAGCGUCGCCUUCCUCUCUGGGGGCUCUGCCCUGUACCCCCCGCAGCUGUGUCAACCACUGUUUCCUGCCCUCCCCUUUCUUCUGGUGAAGUCCCAGUAGCUCUGUGAGUGCUCCCUCGAGUCCAGAGCUGCACCAUCUCUGAUUCCAGACCCUGCCCGGGUGGGAGCCCCUCACCAAUCUGUUACAGGGCAGGGAGAGGGGCACCCCAGACCCCACAAACCUGCCCGCUCUAAAUAGAUUCUGUCAUCCGCCACAUUAGCAUAAAACAUAUGAGACUUUAAUGGGAAGGAACUUUAAUACAAUUGGAAAACAAUACAGGAAAGACAAAGGAUAUAGUUUCUAAAUCAAGUACCCAAAGUUACCCGUCCCCUCGUGGGUAAAAGUCCACCCAAGCAGGAGUGGCCCACCGGGAGCUGAGACCUUUGUGCAGGGGAGCGGCUCUCUCUGGCAGAAGCUGCACAGCGGCUGGGUGGCUAAUGAACAGUGCCCCUGAUGUUGACAAAGCUCAGGGUGACCAGGAAGCUCGGAUCUAUUUAUUUUUAUACAAGAAGCAGGGUACAGGCCAGAUGGAGACAGAGCGGGGAACAGAACAGGCAGACUGAAGAAAUACACUGCUGAGAGGAGCAGCAGGCGACAGGGAAGGUCUGCUGUGCCAUGUGAGAAUCUCGCCCGCCGGCUGGGAUCGAACCUGCGCUGCAGAGGCUACAAACAGCUUCAUAGUAUGGUGCUCAACCACCCGUGCCACCACGGAGGUCCUAAAAUGUUUUUCUGUAACCACAUGGACUUUAAGACUUUUAAAAAAUUACUCUUCCCCUGCCAAGGAGCAAGGAGGUAAUUUUACCAAUGGAGUUUUCAUCAACUUCUGUUACAGGUCCUGAUAAUGAUAGGGAGUUGUGUAUAUUGUAGAAAAUGUGAAGAGUAGAAUAAAAUAGGAUGAACAGUAUCAACAAGUACUCUUAUGACUUAGCACGUUUCCUUCCUAGUUUUUCCCCCAAUAUUUGCAUUUGUGAAAUUGAAUGCCUGUGUAGAAGGUAGGUAGUAGCUUGAGAAUUAUAAAAUGAGCUUCCAUUAAAUAGGUCAAGAAAUGUAAAAUCACAUCAUAGCAUGACCAUCCUCCAUAAGGAAGCCUUUAUAUGGCUGUCACUAAAUUUUUUUCUUUGCUCUUCACUACAUAUUCUAGGUAUGUAUCACUGCAUGUAUCAUUAAAAUGUGGUUUUAAUUUUGUCGUAUUUAAUAUUUAAAUAAAUUAAAUCAUGUUCUGUUUCUGUCUUGAAUGUCACUCAACAGUAUGAAGGCAAGACUAGUCCACAAUUUGGAUGCAGCUUGAGACUUUUCACUGUUGUAUAAUAUUCCACUCGAUGUACAGUUGUUGUUUACAUUGUGUUCUCAUGCAUAAGGGUUAAGGAGAGUAUGCUUACAUCAUCACUAAAAUUUUAUAUUCUACUUCAUUUAACAUUGCAAUAUAAGUACUUUCCACAUCAUUAAAAACUAUUCAGUGUUACUGUGUCUAGUUUUUACAUUUAAUUUUGUAUAUAUUGGGGGUUUUCAUUUAGAUAGUUUCAAAUCAUUUUACUGUAAAUAAAGUGUUGGUGAACAU
Talpa occidentalis (Iberian mole) is the source of this 3185-nucleotide long non-coding RNA. RefSeq lists it as uncharacterized. NCBI's taxonomy places the organism in Eukaryota, Metazoa, Chordata, Mammalia, Eulipotyphla, Talpidae. The transcript has 3 exons. The record is from RefSeq and is a predicted model, not a curated record.